RNAcentral lists this small RNA (307 nucleotides) under Histoplasma ohiense. Its description in RNAcentral is "hypothetical lncRNA". Lineage: Eukaryota; Fungi; Ascomycota; Eurotiomycetes; Onygenales; Ajellomycetaceae. The record is from RNAcentral.
CACAAUCUUCUUCAGUGCUCUCUUCUCUCUCUUCUCUCAGAUUUAUACUGAGUCACAUGAUUGCAAGAUGUCAUAGAGAAUACAGUCUUUUCUUCACUCUUCUCUUUAUUUUUCUUUUCAGAACACUCUUUUUUUCUCUUUUCUUUUAUCUAUCUCAUCUGUCUUUUCUCUGCUGUUAGAAGCACAGACAGUUCUCAGAUCAACUGAGAAAGUUAUCUCUCUUCAUUCACUAUAAAGUUUUUCAGACACAGCAGCAGUGGUUCUCUCAGAAACCACACUAUAGUUUCAUCAUGAAUGACCAUACAUC